UACGUAGGUGAGCAGCGUUGUCCGGAUUUACUGGGCGUAAAGAGCGCGCAGGCGGUCGUUCAAGUCGAGUGUGAAAGCCCCCGGCUCAACCGGGGAGGGUCACUCGAUACUGAUCGACUUGAAGGCAGGAGAGGGAAGCGGAAUUCCCGGUGUAGUGGUGAAAUGCGUAGAUAUCGGGAGGAACACCGGUGGCGAAGGCGGGUCUCUGGGCCGAUACUGACGCUGAGGAGCGAAAGCGUGGGGAGCAAACAGG
This 253-nucleotide ribosomal RNA is filed under the name uncultured bacterium. Its description in RNAcentral is "partial 16S ribosomal RNA". It matches the Rfam family "Bacterial small subunit ribosomal RNA", at positions 524 to 776 of the family's 1533-position model. The record is from RNAcentral.